CCCUUAGACGUUCUGGGCCGCACGCGCGCUACACUGACGAAGGCAACGAGCUUUCCUUUACCGAAAGGUACGGGUAAUCUUUUGAAACUUCGUCGUGCUGGGGAUAGAUCCUUGCAAUUUUUGAUCUUAAACGAGGAAUUCCUAGUAAGCGCAAGUCAUCAACUUGCGUUGAUUACGUCCCUGCCCUUUGUACACACCGCCCGUCGCUACUACUGAUUGGAUGUUUAAGCGAGGUUCUCGAACUGCUAGCGACUUAGCUUCGGUGAGGUCGCAGUGUGGGAAGUGAACCUAGCUUUGGUGUCUAGAGGAAGUAAAAGUCGUAACA
RNAcentral lists this ribosomal RNA (325 nucleotides) under uncultured eukaryote. Its description in RNAcentral is "partial 18S ribosomal RNA". It matches the Rfam family "Eukaryotic small subunit ribosomal RNA", at positions 1470 to 1796 of the family's 1831-position model. The record is from RNAcentral.